CCAAUAGCGUAUAUUAAAGUUGUUGCAGUUAAAAAGCUCGUAGUUGAACCUUAGGCCCGUGCGGGUGGUCCGUCCUCUGGGCGAGCACUGCCUCGUCGCGGGUCUCACCUUCUGGCGAGCGUGGAUGCCAUUCACUUGGUGUCCGCGGGAACCAGGACCUUUACCUUGAAAAAAUUAGAGUGCUCAAAGCGGGCUCGUACGCUUGAAUACAUUAGCAUGGAAUAAUGAAAUAGGACGACGGUUCUAUUUUGUUGGUUUCCGGGACAGUCGUAAUGAUUAAUAGGGAUAGUUGGGGGCAUUCGUAUUCAAUUGUCAGAGGUGAAAUUCUUGGAUUUAUUGAAGACGAACUACUUCGAAAGCAUUUGCCAAGGAUGUUUUCAUUAAUCAAGAACGAAAGUUGGGGGAUCGAAGACGAUCAGAUACCGUCGUAGUCUCAACCAUAAACUAUGCCGACUGGGAAUCGGGCGAUGUUAUUUUUCGUGACUCGCUCGGCGCCCCGAG
This 501-nucleotide ribosomal RNA is filed under the name uncultured Glomeromycotina. RNAcentral's name for it is "partial small subunit ribosomal RNA". It matches the Rfam family "Eukaryotic small subunit ribosomal RNA", at positions 591 to 1092 of the family's 1831-position model. The record is from RNAcentral. Lineage: Eukaryota; Fungi; Glomeromycota.